RNAcentral lists this long non-coding RNA (679 nucleotides) under Rhinopithecus bieti (black snub-nosed monkey). Its description in RNAcentral is "lncRNA (ENSRBIG00000045125.1)". The record is from RNAcentral. Lineage: Eukaryota; Metazoa; Chordata; Mammalia; Primates; Cercopithecidae.
GUCUGAUCUGGCUUCUCUGGCAACUUCCAACAGGGGACAAACAAUUCUUAAGUUGUGGAGAGUUAGCUGUCAGGCAAAUUAUGAACAGUGGGAAAGAACAGAUAAGAGAGAACUUGGAGAUUAAUCUUUUUCCUUUCAUCUCUUCAAUAGACAAUUCUGGGACAUAGACUCCUGGUACAGACUGACCAAGACAUCUCACAUGACCAAGCAAUGGGACAUGUCUCUUCUUAUCUCAUGAAACACCUCUAGAUUCUACAUCAUUAUGGAUGCAGUCUACUACAUUCACUAGUGAAUCUCCAGCAUCUAGUUGCCAUAUAUCAUAAGCGAGGAUACAUGAGUUCAGGAGGAAAGAAAUGCAAAUGGAAGAGGUGCAUCUAACUAUUACAUUCAUGACUUACUUGUAAAUGUACGGUUCACGCCUUGUGAGCUCUGUUCACGGGUCUUAUAGCAAAAGAAAGAUUGCAUACAUGAGGGAAUAUCAUGAGAAGAAUAGUUCUUGGCUAGCUUACUGGUCCCUGAAGAAGGAAGAAAGACACAUGGAGCAUAGCUGAGAUCAGCCAAACCUCCUGUAAGAAAAUGCCCAGGAUUACUUGUGUGCCCAAGAUAAAGGUGUUAAAUUAUUUUUUCUUACAAAGACAAUUCAUGAUCUUUACAAACGUAUUCUGUGAUUAAAGAUAAG